GAGGAUAUAGCUCAGUGGUAGAUUGCAUGCCUAGCAUGCAGGAGGUCCUGGGUUCAAUCUCCAGUACCUCCA
This 72-nucleotide transfer RNA is filed under the name Camelus bactrianus (Bactrian camel). It matches the Rfam family "tRNA". From Rfam's summary of the family: Transfer RNA (tRNA) molecules are approximately 80 nucleotides in length. Their secondary structure includes four short double-helical elements and three loops (D, anti-codon, and T loops). Further hydrogen bonds mediate the characteristic L-shaped molecular structure. tRNAs have two regions of fundamental functional importance: the anti-codon, which is responsible for specific mRNA codon recognition, and the 3' end, to which the tRNAs corresponding amino acid is attached (by aminoacyl-tRNA synthetases). tRNAs cope with the degeneracy of the genetic code in two manners: having more than one tRNA (with a specific anti-codon) for a particular amino acid; and 'wobble' base-pairing, i.e. permitting non-standard base-pairing at the 3rd anti-codon position. RNAcentral also lists the same sequence under 1 other name. The record is from Rfam by way of RNAcentral. Lineage: Eukaryota; Metazoa; Chordata; Mammalia; Artiodactyla; Camelidae.